AUACGUAGGGGGCAAGCGUUGUCCGGAAUGAUUGGGCGUAAAGGGCGCGUAGGCGGCCCGGUAAGUCUGAAGUGAAAGUCCUGGUUUUAAGUUGGGAAUUGCUUUGGAUACUGUCGGGCUUGAGUGCAGGAGAGGUAAGUGGAAUUCCCAGUGUAGCGGUGAAAUGCGUAGAGAUUGGGAGGAACACCAGUGGCGAAGGCGACUUACUGGACUGUAACUGACGCUGAGGCGCGAAAGUGUGGGGAGCAAACAGGAUUAGAUACCCUGGUAGUCCACACUGUAAACGAUGAAUGCUAGGUGUAGGGGGUAUCGACCCCUUCUGUGCCGCAGUCAACACAAUAAGCAUUCCGCCUGGGGAGUACGGCCGCAAGGUUGAAACUCAAAGGAAUUGACGGGG
RNAcentral lists this ribosomal RNA (397 nucleotides) under uncultured bacterium. Its description in RNAcentral is "partial 16S ribosomal RNA". It matches the Rfam family "Bacterial small subunit ribosomal RNA", at positions 523 to 918 of the family's 1533-position model. The record is from RNAcentral.